GGUGUAGUGGUAUCAUAGUACCCUCCCACGGUACUGCCCGGGGUUCAAUUCCCCG
RNAcentral lists this transfer RNA (55 nucleotides) under Morus notabilis. It matches the Rfam family "tRNA", at positions 9 to 63 of the family's 71-position model. From Rfam's summary of the family: Transfer RNA (tRNA) molecules are approximately 80 nucleotides in length. Their secondary structure includes four short double-helical elements and three loops (D, anti-codon, and T loops). Lineage: Eukaryota; Viridiplantae; Streptophyta; Magnoliopsida; Rosales; Moraceae. The record is from Rfam by way of RNAcentral.